AGAGUUUGAUCAUGGCUCAGGACGAACGCUGGCGGCGUGCUUAACACAUGCAAGUCAAGGAGAAAGUCCCGCUUGCGGGAUGAUUAAACUGGCGCACGGGUGAGGAAUAUAUAAGCAAUCUACCCAUAGGUUCGGAAUAACGUCGAGAAAUCGGCGCUAAUACCGUAUAAUGCAGCGGCAUCGCAUGAUGAUGUUGUUAAAGUUCUUGAAACGCCUGUGGAUGAGCUUGUAUCUGAUUAGCUAGUUGGUGGGGUAAGGGCUCACCAAGGCUACGAUCAGUAGCUGGUCUGAGAGGAUGAUCAGCCACAUUGGAACUGAGACACGGUCCAGACUCCUACGGGAGGCAGCAGUGAGGAAUAUUGGGCAAUGGGCGUAAGCCUGACCCAGCAACGCCGCGUGGAGGAUGAAUGUCGUAAGAUUGUAAACUCCUUUUAGAGGGGACGAAAAAACAGGUUGGAAGCCUGAAUUGACGGUACCCUCAGAAUAAGCCCCGGCUAACUACGUGCCAGCAGCCGCGGUAAUACGUAGGGGGCAAGCGUUGUCCGGAUUUACUGGGUGUAAAGGGCGCGCAGGUGGGUUUGCAAGUCAGGGGUGAAAUCCUACAGCUUAACUGUAGAACUGCCUUUGAUACUGCAAAUCUUGAGUACGGAAGAGAGAGGCGGAAUUUCAGGUGUAGUGGUGAAAUACGUAGAUAUCUGGA
RNAcentral lists this ribosomal RNA (700 nucleotides) under uncultured bacterium. RNAcentral's name for it is "bacterial SSU rRNA". It matches the Rfam family "Bacterial small subunit ribosomal RNA", at positions 8 to 702 of the family's 1533-position model. The record is from RNAcentral.